UAUAUAUAUAUAUAUAUUUAACACAAUAUAAGGGUAAUUGCUAUCUGGGAACUUGCCUCUGUUCUUCCCCUUGAUUACAUCUUGUUGACAAUGAUUUAGCUUAGAUUUAACUCGUGAUGCCAUGCUCAAUCGUAGGCUAUUAUAUAUUGUCAUUUAGCCGAUAUUACUUUUAUUUCUUUUCAACAAGUAACCCCCGUCCUUGUCUAGUCNNN
This 212-nucleotide long non-coding RNA is filed under the name Solanum tuberosum (potato). RNAcentral's name for it is "long non-coding RNA (STUB_LNC001148)". The record is from RNAcentral. Lineage: Eukaryota; Viridiplantae; Streptophyta; Magnoliopsida; Solanales; Solanaceae.